Molecule: long non-coding RNA, 542 nt
Organism: Hemibagrus wyckioides
Lineage: Eukaryota; Metazoa; Chordata; Actinopteri; Siluriformes; Bagridae
Exons: 4
Source: RefSeq, a predicted model, not a curated record
AGAUAACAGUACACUGUGACACAGCAAGACACACACACACACACACACACACACACAUACUCUCUUUCCAUUGCUGUUCUUCAGAAACACACUCGGCUGACUCGUUGACCUUUAUCCUCUAUGUGAGUGAGAAGCCCAAAAUGGUGGCAAUGAACGGAGAAGUGCCAGUGAUGGUGGUGUUGAGCAGUGUGUUUACUCUGUGUGUGCUCAUCGUCUCUACACUCUGGACAUGUUGGAAGAUCAGAAGAGCCAUGAGAACUGAAACCCAGGAGACGUACAUGCUGUACCCAGAGCAGACGAUGGAUGAGCUGAAAGAGAACAAAAGUGAAGAGGAGGAGGCGGUAGAGGAGACAGAGGAGGUGGAGGAGGAGGAAGACAACAGUUGAAGAAACCGACAGCUCAACUGUGUCACAGUAACAUCUCGUAUUGAAUGCUGUAUUUUGGGGAUUUGAGGCUGUAGGUGAAGCUAAAAGCCGUUAAAAUGUAGGGAGAUACGACACGAGGCUCUGAAAAUAAAUAAAGAACAAAUUUUACAGAUAUAA